Molecule: ribosomal RNA, 504 nt
Filed under: uncultured bacterium
Lineage: Bacteria
Description: bacterial SSU rRNA
Rfam family: Bacterial small subunit ribosomal RNA
Source: RNAcentral
AUGAACGCUGGCGGCGUGCCUAACACAUGCAAGUCGAACGGAGAUUAGACGCUGACGAGACUUCGGUCAAAUCUUGUUAAUCUUAGUGGCGGACGGGUGAGUAACGCGUGGGCAACCUGCCUCAUACUGGGGGAUAGCAGUUGGAAGCGACUGAUAAUACCGCAUAAGCGCACGAGAUCGCAUGAUCUAGUGUGAAAAACUCCGGUGGUAUGAGAUGGGCCCGCGUCAGAUUAGCUAGUUGGUAAGGUAACGGCUUACCAAGGCGACGAUCUGUAGCCGGACUGAGGGGUCGGACGGCCACAUUGGGACUGAGACACGGCCCAAACUCCUACGGGAGGCAGCAGUGGGGGAUAUUGCACAAUGGAGGAAACUCUGAUGCAGCGACGCCGCGUGAGUGAAGAAGUAUUUCGGUAUGUAAAGCUCUAUCAGCAGGGAAGAAAGGCUCGUAAGAGAGAUGACGGUACCUGACUAAGAAGCCCCGGCUAACUACGUGCCAGCCGCCGC